Molecule: ribosomal RNA, 743 nt
Filed under: uncultured Russulaceae
Lineage: Eukaryota; Fungi; Basidiomycota; Agaricomycetes; Russulales; Russulaceae
Description: eukaryotic LSU rRNA
Rfam family: 5.8S ribosomal RNA (bases 263-416)
Source: RNAcentral
CUUGGUCAUUUAGAGGAAGUAAAAGUCGUAACAAGGUUUCCGUAGGUGAACCUGCGGAAGGAUCAUUAUCAUACAACUGAGGUGCAAAGGCUGUCGCUGACUUUUCGUCGUGCACGCCCGAGUGCUCUCAAACAUAUCCAUCUCACCCCUGUGCACCACCGCGUGGGUUCCCUUUUGGCUCGUUCCGAGGGGGGGCUCGCGUUUUCACACAAACUUGAUACGGUAUAGAAUGUCUUUGUUUGCGAUCACACGCAAUUAAUACAACUUUCAACAACGGAUCUCUUGGCUCUCGCAUCGAUGAAGAACGCAGCGAAAUGCGAUACGUAAUGUGAAUUGCAGAAUUCAGUGAAUCAUCGAAUCUUUGAACGCACCUUGCGCCCCUUGGCAUUCCGAGGGGCACACCCGUUUGAGUGUCGUGAAAUUCUCAAAACCUUUCUUUUGGUCUUAUCGAUCGGGGGAAGGGUUUUGGACUUGGAGGCUUUUGCUGGUUUCAUCUUGAAGCGAGCUCCUCCCAAACGAAUUAGUGGGGUCCGCUUUGCCGAUCCUUGACGUGAUAAGAUGUUUUCUACGUCUUGGGUUUGGCACUGUCACUUGGGCACCUGCUUCUAACCGUCUCAUUGACAAUGAUGGCGUUCCGGUCACUGCCAUCUACAUUGGCGGGAGGCUGGACCCACAAAAGAAAACCUUGACCUCAAAUCGGGUGAGACUACCCGCUGAACUUAAGCAUAUCAAUAAGCGGAGGA